RNAcentral lists this ribosomal RNA (22 nucleotides) under Melanogaster broomeanus. RNAcentral describes it as "partial 28S ribosomal RNA". The record is from RNAcentral. Lineage: Eukaryota; Fungi; Basidiomycota; Agaricomycetes; Boletales; Melanogastraceae.
CUUGACCUCAAAUCAGGUAGGA